UCAAUUUCGCUAGAUAGUAUUAUAAUGGAAUAUUAAAAGUUUAUAUAUAAUAUAAUUUGAAUAUUACGUGGUUACAAAUUAAAUUUAAACAAGCAGCUAGUAACAAUCUCAACAAUCACUUUAAAUUUGAAUAAUAUAUCUUUCCAUAUUUAAACACAUUCUAAGAUUUCAAACUCCUUCGAGAUCAUGCUUUACACGUUUCAUACGUGGGAACUGGACGAAAAUGGAACGAUUCGCAAUGCGCAUGCGCGUAGCAAUCGAAGUCGCUCUCGAUAAUCGCGCGAGACGCGAUGGUAACGAUGGUUCGCUGGUCGCAUGCAAAAUGAAGCUGAUUUGGAUAUGCGGCACAAUUUAGACGAGCUAUGAACAGGGACACAUUCGACGUGCAUGCACUUCAACACGUGAUUCGUGCGCACGUAGUCAUGCUUGAUAUACAUUUGAAUGUUAAUUGACCAGUGUGGAAUAAUUCAAGUUCUUUAUUCGGAUGCGGCAUUUGAGACUUUGGUGAGAUUUGAUGAUAAAUUUAUUGAAAUUUGAAAAAAUAAUAUUCAAUCAUCGAAUUCGAUGGUAUCAUUUUCAUCAAACGAUGAAAUAUUUUUGAUAUUGUAUUUAUCCACAGAUUAAUUAAUAAAGAUUUUGGAAAUAACAAACAUUCCUUUAUUAAAAUCUAAAAUUCAGAUAAAUAUAUGAUAAAGUUUAACUUAAAUAAUAUGACAUAGUUAAGAAAAUUAUUGUCAUAAAUUAUAUUAUAAAAUAAAAUAUACAAAUAAAUAAAAUAAAACAUAUUUUAUUAAAAAAUUAAAUACUAAUAAAAAAUCAAUACAAGAAUGUAGUUUUGAAAAGGAAAUUGAUGUCAAAGUAUUUGAAUAAUUAACAUUCUACAUGGUAGACGAUUGAUUUUAAUAGCCAUUAAAUUGGUUAUUUACACGGAUACGUGAUAUUAUAUUUUAAUUUGUCGAUAUGUCGGCAAACAAUUGCCAGAAACGAUGACUAUAUUGUACUUUGUGAAUGACCUUUCAUAUCAUAUGAAUAGUAUUGUGAAUUUAAUUGAGAUUAUUCAAAAAGACUGAAGAAGAUUCAUUUCUUUCCAUAUAAGUAAUCUUCUUAGAUAAUACUUUUAUACAUUGUUUCGACAUUUAUUACUUUAGCAUUCUAAAGUUAGAACAUCGUAAAGUUUAUCGUAAACAUGAAUACUUCAUAUAUCCAAAUGCAAUAAAAACAUACAUUUCUAUUUUUAUAGUUAUUCUUUAUAAUGACGAGAUAAUAAACAAAUAAAUCUAAAAUAAAAUACACGAUAUAAAAAGGACAAAACGGAACACACGAAAAAAAAAAUGCAUUACUAGGGAGAAAGAGUAUACCAGCCAUUAGAUUUCUUUAUUACGGAACUCCUUCAACUAUCAAACGAUUCAACUAAAUCUACCACUCGGAAUUUACUGCUGCCAUCAUUUCACACGGAUAUUGCCACACAAUCGUCUACUUCAAACAAACCAUUUACCAGUCUAUUCAUCGAAGGGAUCAGUAUCCAUCCCUCUAUAGUGUUUUUUAUCUGCAAUAACGGCACCCUCUUGAAACCAUACUAUUAUACUUAUAUACUUUCUCCCCUUAUGCUUAUCUGUGAAUCAAGUGCGUAUGAUCUUGUCUACUUGUUGCAACCACAGAAUUCGCAGAAUCAGUAACUGGAUAGCUAGUGUCAGUACUUAAGAUCAAUUAUUUCCAAAUUUCAAGCUUAUAAUCAUCUUACUACAUAAAAGUCUAUUUUACGUAUUAAUUCUUAAUGUACUGUGCUUUUUUACAGAGAACAUUCAAACGCGAGAGUGGAAUGAAUGUUUUAUCGCGCUUGAACACAAAAUAUUUGAACUAAGUUAUAGCUUCUCUAAAGAUCUAUCAUGUACUUUUCCUCACUGAUCAUCAAGCCGGCCCACUUUCGGCCAAAUCCUCCUGGCGCGCGUAAACCAAAAUUCUCGGUCACAUAACAGAUACGUAACAAGGAAGGAAUUCGUAUGAAAGGAGGACGCGGGGGCAAAAGUGCAAGGGUUACAACACGAAAUGCAAUUAGGCCGAUGAAGAAGUAUCGGGAUUACGUCAUCGGGGAAACGAUUUCAGUCUGAGAACAAGUCAUUUUGCACAGCCGCCUAAUUCGGCUUCGAGAAAAUGCGAUUUCAUGACAGAGCUUGUCGAUGCGCACCGAUUAGUGUGUCAGUAGGUUGCCAAUUCCAAUCGUGAGACAGCCAAAUUUGGCGCUGUUUCGAGGACAGGGGUUCCGCGUGUUCACGUCACGGUACUGCACUUCGAUCUUAUAUAUAUUUCAUUUUGAUGAAAUGAUAUCUCUAUCGAUAAAAUAAAAAUUUUUAUAAAAUAAAUUAAUCUAAAAGAAAUAUUAGGAAUUUCUUAAGAUUUAUUAUUAAUCUUUUAUUUCUUAAAAUAUUUACUAUUAAUAGAAAUAUUGCAAAUUAUGUUUUAUAAUGAAAUUAAAGACAAACUUAAUUUAUUCUGAUUUUGAUUAAUUUAUGAAUAAUUAUAUAAUCUAAUUGUGCUAAUAUUCUGUCGAUUAAAAAAUUAAUUCAAGAAUAUGAAUUAAUAAAAUUAAGAAAUUCUCAGAAAAUAAAGUUAAAUUAUUGAAUAAAUUAUAGGAUGAUUAAAAAAAAAAAAUUUUUAAAAAAUGAAAAAUUUCAAUUUGUUAAAAUUAAAUUAUUAAAAUUUAAUAUUUAAUCUUAACAUUUUAGAUUUUCAAUUUAUUAUUUAUUUUAAAAACUAUGUCGGAUAUUGAUUAAUGUAUCAAUUAACAGACAAUAUUGGCAAUUGGAAAUCGUAUAAGGUUAUCGUACGAUAUCGAAUUUCAACGCAAAUUAUUUAUCAACAACGUUAUAUUUUACAUUAACGUGUUAAUAGUUUAAAAGUCCUUAGACUAUUAAAAUCUAGUUAACGAUUGUUGUUGAAAAUUAUAUUUAAUAAUUUGCACAUAGUAUAAUUAAUAGACACUACAAAAUAUAAGUACAAUAAAUGCAUAUAAUUCUUUAUAUAAUUUUCAUUAUAAGACACUUUCUUUCCAAUAACACAUUUUCUUUCCAAUUAGCAACAAUGAAAUCUGAAUUAUUUUGAAAACAAAUUUUUUUAUCUAACAAAUAUGUGUUUCUUAAUACAUAUUGUAAAUGUUUAACAUGAAAUAUUUUUAUAGUCUAUAAUAAUGAAAUAAUGAAAUAAUAUAUGGAAAUCUUAAUUUAAAAUAAAACUAAAUAUAAUAGAAUAUAUAAAAAAUAAUUGAAAAAAAUUGCUCAGAAAUGUUGUCCUAUCUUUUUAUUUUUUUCAUUUUUCACUCGUAAAAUUUAAAUUUUCGUUUUAACAUUUUUUUUUUUCAUUUUAUUUUUCACAGUUCAUAAAUUUAAAAAUGAAUAGUAAUAUCAUAAUAUGUAUAAAAUAAUAAUGAUGCAACACUAAUAAUAAUCGAUUGAUAAGAAUAAUGAAUAAUACAUGAUAAUAGUGCAUAACGGUCAUUGACCAAUUCUCAUAAUGAUAAAAUGUCAUCGUUAAUUACCAGCUCUAUAUCGAUUUCACGUAUAACGCCAAAUGUUGCAAUUUAGUGGCGCAUCAUAGGCUCGUUUCCUUUAUUUUAUUAUGCAAUAAAUCGAGUGAAACUGUCGAUAGAAGCAUAUAAUGGAAUAAUCCAGAGGAUGAAAAUUAUUGGUGGCAAUGCUUUUGCGAACGAGAUGCAUAUGAUGAUAUAAAUUAAAUAAAUUAACAAGCGAAAUUACAGUGGCAACGAGGAAGAAGAGGCUGAAGGCACAACGGCGUGGGAAAUAAUAAGAAAAAAGAUAUUAUCGAUGACCUGACGAAGGGUUAAAAGGAUUCAACGCGUCAGUCUGCCGGGGCUCUUUGCAAUUCAAUUCGUGUCGGCUCCGGUGUACGCCUUUUAUAUUUCGUCGUCGAUCACAUGAUUGUGAUGUAGUCCAUGAGACCUCCUUCCCAUGGAUCUCAAGAAAGAGGUCACGUCCGGGGAUAAACCUUUUAGAAUUUUAUACGCGAAUAUUUUAACAGAAUUCAUUUUUGAUUUAACAUUCGUAAACAUGUGUUAUAUAUAUACGUCACAAAUGCUCGAUCGAUAAAAUAUGAUUAGAAUAAAUUGCAUAGAUAUAUCAGAAGAAUAUUUUGAUAUAUGAUAUCGACAUAUUUAAAUAAUUUUUCAAAUAAUAUAGCUUUUUUCUUGACAUUUGAAUUGUUAACAAAAGUUUUUUUGACAUAUGCAAAAUAAUAUAAAAUAUGUUUUUUCUCGUAUCGAUUACAUUUGUUUUGAAUAUAAAUUCAUUGCUAAUAUCUGCAAUAACGUGUUCAAUUCUUUUCAAAAAUAUCAUAUUAUUCUCAAUCAUAUAAUAAUAUCGAUUCGAGUUAACUAAAAUCUUCUGUAAUAGCAAUGGAAUUUUCAAGAAUCGAGACUCAAGACUAUUGAAUGUGCAACUAGUAAUUGCAUUGACGUCAUUCGAAUAUAAUAAUGAAAACAUAUUUGAUGAAUAAGAAAAAAGUUCUAUACAACAGCAUUUUAAAGAUUGCGAGAAUAUCAUGUUUUAUCUGAGUGCGAAUGAAUUACGUGAAAUGAAAUUUGUAAAUAUAGGUUAUGAAUGUAUGCGACAUGACAAAAUUAUUUCUACGAUUUAUUUAGAUAUUGUGUUUGCAUUCUUAAAUUAUGUAUUACAAGAAAAUUAAAAAUCAUGUAUAUUUGAAUUUAAUAAAUGUACAAAUAACAUAUGUAUUAAAAAAAUACUUAACAUACUUAUUUUUGCGUAGAACGAAUGAGGUUAAUUUUUUGAUUCUUCGUCUUUCGAUGUAAUUUUUUUCACUUUUUAAUUUCGAUGUCAACGAGUUGCUAUUUUAAUUCACUUCGAUAUAAUAUUCACUUAAAACACAAUUUUUCUUUAUAAUAUGUAAGAAUUUAUUUUUAUUUUAUAAAUAAUCUUUUUUAAUUAUUUCUUUAAAAUACUUAAAAAAAAUUUAUAUUCGUUAAAACACAUAAAUAUUUAUAAAUAAAAAAUUGAAUGAAAGUUAACCACAAAAUAUUAUUGUAAAUUAAUCAAGAAUAUUAUAAAUUUCAUGAUUAUUAAUCUUAAUAUAUGCAAUAUUAUUUUAUAUAUUAUAUAAAAUGUAUAAUUAUUUAUGAUGAAUUAAAAACGAAAAAAAAAUAAACUAUUUAUGGCAAAAAUAAAAAUAAUACUACAAAAAGUCAUAAAAUAAACUUCAGAAUUCAAGGUUAAGAUAUCAUUCCUAAGUCUAAUAAAAAAAAAAAAACUAGAUUUAAAUUUUAUAUAAUGAAACUUACUAAUCCCAUACUCAAAUAUAAGUAUAUAUAUCUGUAUCAAAAAAUUAUACGAUCAUAAUACGAUAUCGAAACACUGACGAGCGAUUGAAUUCAACCCUAACCUCCAACCAACAAGUUAUUCGAUUCUAUCAAUUAUCAUUAUAUACCAUUGUCAGAAAAACAAUCAAGCUUUGAAUUAAAUAUAAUUGAUUUCUUUUUUGCGUUGUUAUACACCAAAACACAAGUAAAAAUAGAAAACAAUUUAAACAGCCAAUGAUAUACGUUUAUGAUUCGAAACAUUUGAUGAAAACGAUCGCCUCGAGUCUGAGCCAUGGUUAUUACUGUCUCCUUUUAUUCUACUAGUAAAGAGAGUAUGCGUGGACAAGAGAGUGAACAAAACAACGAAGGAAACAAGAUAGUGAGAUAAAAAGAGAAAGAACUAACCGCACGUUCAACGGCUUUUGAAGUAGAUAUAGAUGUAUUGGUGCCAAUUUGCGCAUGUGUUGAAUUUAUAUAGAUACACGUCCUUCGUAUGCUUGUGCCUGUCACUGUUUGCCAAGCCGAGCGUAAUGUUGACAAGGAAGAAGGGGAAAGGGAGAAAAUGAAGGGAGAAAACGAGACAGGAAAAAGGACAGGACACAAGUUUUACGUGCCUGUGUUCCAGUUGGUUACAAAAGAGCAUUUUCUGUCGUUUAAUGUGAAAUAGUAUUAGAGUUAUUUAAUAAGAAACACACGAUUUUUUCUUUUGGAUUUUGUCGCACAACAACUUUACUAUAUUAAUGAACAGACGGUACAGUUUCACACGUUCUACCAUCUGAAAUAAACGAUAUCAACUUUCUUUCAAAUGAAUGCGACUCUAAAGCCUUGUCGACAAAGAAAUGAGAUAAAAUUACAUUCGCAAUAGCCACAUGAAAUCCAUUUAUAAAUUUUAACAGAACGAACGAAAGCUUUGAAUACAUUCUGACUGUGGUAUGCAUAUUUAUUUCGUCAUUUUUACCGCGAGUAUUUACGUCACAAAUUAUAUAUAAUUGAUCGUUUUGUUCACAAUAGUACAGCACAUUUUAAAUAGAUAACAUAAAUAUUGCUUAUAAUGCUCUCAGCAUAUUUAAAUCGAAAAAUAAAUUUUGUUUCAUAUUUAAAUUUGUACAUUAUAUCAGUAUUUAUGAAAAUAUUAAUUUUAAAAGAUAUCAAAAAAUAUCAUAAAUCAGUGAAUUACAAACAGAUGGCGUUGAAUGUCUGUUUUAAAUCAUAUUUUUAUUUUUAAACUUUAAAUUUCAUUCUAAAUGUCAUCCAUGAUAAAAAAUUAUUUUACGAUAAAAAAGUAUACAAUUAAAAUUCUGAAAUGAAAAAAAAAAAGAAAGAAAUUCGAUUAAAAUUAAUAUUUCGUAUAAUUUUAAUUUGACUGAACAUUAAAUUUAAGACAAUGUUUUUAAGCGUACCUCUCGAUAAUAAUUAUCUUUGUGUAUAUUAAUUAUCUUCUAUCACGAGUCUGCACAUGAUAAGGUGAUAAAUUACUGAUUAUCAAUAAUAAUUAUUAACACAAUUACACAGAUAUCCGUGAAAAAUCUACAAAAAUUUAAUGCAGGUAAUAUUUUAUCUAUUUACUGAACGGAACAUUACUACUGAUCCUGAACAUUUCGUAAAACGAACCGUGAUGUAUUGUAUACAUAUAAAUGAGCAUGAAUGCAUAUCGUACAAUCGUCAUUUAAAAAGGAGAUAGAGAGAAACAAAUAGUAAAAAAAAACAAGAUAAAGGUACGGAUAGAGAUACUAUAGUGCCAAGGUAAAGAAAGUGAAUUUCCGUUUUCUCAACGUUCUCUAGAUGGUUUGGCGAGCCGGAAGUAAUUGCGAUCGGAUUUCUCGUAGCUUCUCUCUUUUGCCAGAUAAACUAAAGACCUUCGUGGUCACAUUGAAAUGUAUAUUGGUUCAUGUAUAUAUCUAUCACGUAUAAUGAUUGCCGAGAAAUUGUUCCUCAAUACGUGCCUCUGUACGUUGUCUGCAUCCCAUCUGUCUAUAAUCAAACAACCUUUCCUUUCUGGUAAAAUAGAGACACGGUCGCAAGAAAGGCAGAGUAUGGACAUUGACAAUAUGGCCGAGAUAUACGUCAAUAUUUUUAUAAAUAAAUGUUAUUCGACAAAACAAUUUCAUGAUAAUUCUCCAUCAUAAAUAUUAUGAUAAAAAUUUCACAUUUUAAUUAAUGUGUUUUGAUUCUCAAUAUAGAUGAUUCCAAAAUGUUUCUUUCUUACGAAAGUGAAUAAUAUUAUGAAUGUAAUAGAAAUAUGAACACCAAAUAAAAAAUAAAAAAAAUGUUUUCUUAACAAAACAAGAUAAAAAGAUAAAAAAACAAGAUUAAAAAUUAAAAAUAAAAAACUAUAAUUUUCUUAAAGAUUUCAAAGAAUUUAUCCAUACUUCGAAAGAAGCCAUAAAUACAAUAUGGGUUCAGUCGAGAGUUUCUCUUCGAUUUCAUUGCACCAGUGCACUAGUGCGCGGCCGCUGUGAUUCGCAACAACUCAUGCGCGACAAAAUAUUAUGUGCAUUCGCGUAUGCACACAUUUAUUCAUCGACAGUAUCGAAAGAAGGAACACACACGGAGGCAAAAAGAGAGGUCCUAUCUCUCUUUCUUUCUCUCUUCUCCCCUACCCGAUCUCUCCACUUCGACAGUCUACGUUCUUAUUAUUAUCUACGGCGCAACACCAACGUCCACGAUUGCGCAACGUCUUUUAUUAGCAGACUCCCAGCUAGGGCGGUCGCGAAAUCAACUGAUCGUUUCUUCGUUUGUACGUUAAGGCGAUCCAUAAACGCCUAAGAUCUAAUGCGUUCAUUAAAUUUAAUCAUUUCACGACAAUCAUGAUGGGAUUUAGAUUGCGAUUAAUUGUGACACUUUGUAUCCAACAUCAGAAAAUUUCUAUAAAGACAAAGUUUCGUCUCUUUUUGUUUUGUUUUUCUAUAUAUAUAUAUAUGUGUACGAUAGAUAUUCUGAUAUUCAAAUUGCACUGUAUAUGAAUUUUGAUAAUGAAAUUUGUAGUUUUUAAUAUUUAAUUAAUUGUUGAAGUAAUGAUUUCAAGAUUCUAUAUGCAUGUGUAACGAAUGAUUUACAAAACUUAACAAGAUUUUUAAUAAUCUUGUAAUUGGAUGAUGACAAUCAGUAGUUAUUAUUAUAACACAUAGCAAUUGAAAACUAAUACCGGAAAUCCCUUAUGAAAAAGUCAGUAGGUCAGUAUAUUUUCUGUCCCGCAUUGCUAUCUGACAAUCAGGAGAACGUAGGAAUUUUUUUCUUGUACGGGUUCACCUUGAACGCCGGACAAAAAGAAGUUGAAAUCCUCGGGAGGCAGUGCUCGGAGAGGGCCUUGGAACCGAUGCACAGACUCUGACACAUGCGUCUUUCUCUCUAUCUCUCUCUUUCAGUGUAGGACGUUCACAUAUUUUACCAGACGUAACAAAUACAUGCGCAUAAAUGAGAUCUUUAUCGUGGUAUCGUGGUAACUCUCUUUCCACUUUGAAAAUAUGUAUACCUUACUCGACUCGUUUUUUUAUAGAUAAUCUAGUCAAUUCUUGAUUAUAUUGAUUAUAAAAUCUCAAAAUUCACAUAUAUAUAUUUACAUGUUAUUAUUAUAUGUCGUGUAUUCAUAUAUGUAUAUUUAUAUUCACAUCUAUAUAUAUUUCUAUGAUCUGUAGGCAUGCGCAUUCGCGAUAUACACAUCUAGAACUUCUUGCUAUAGGGGCAACGUUUCGCGCAUGCGUGUUGUCCAUUUCUCUAUGACGAUCAAGCAAUCGGGCUACGUCACUUUUCUAUUCGUCAUUGAAAUCAAUGACCUACCUCAAAUAAUUUUCCCAUGAGCUUUUUUUAUAAUUCGCUAUUUGUUUAUGUAUAUAUACGAUUCUUUUUUCACUUUUUUCUCAAUAGUAUCGUAAGUAAUACAAUAGGAAAUAAUUUCUUCGAUGAUUCUCUUACUUUAAGAUAAACAAUCUUAAACCGAAAUUUUUAGUUAGUAUCAAAAGAACGAGCCAUAACACGAACCUCGGAGCCAGUUCGCAAGUGGCUGAUUCCACCAGCAAU
Apis cerana (Asiatic honeybee) is the source of this 9340-nucleotide long non-coding RNA. RefSeq lists it as uncharacterized. The record is from RefSeq and is a predicted model, not a curated record. Lineage: Eukaryota; Metazoa; Arthropoda; Insecta; Hymenoptera; Apidae.